RNAcentral lists this transfer RNA (72 nucleotides) under Deltaproteobacteria bacterium. RNAcentral's name for it is "tRNA-Val". It matches the Rfam family "tRNA". Rfam says of the family: Transfer RNA (tRNA) molecules are approximately 80 nucleotides in length. Their secondary structure includes four short double-helical elements and three loops (D, anti-codon, and T loops). Further hydrogen bonds mediate the characteristic L-shaped molecular structure. tRNAs have two regions of fundamental functional importance: the anti-codon, which is responsible for specific mRNA codon recognition, and the 3' end, to which the tRNAs corresponding amino acid is attached (by aminoacyl-tRNA synthetases). tRNAs cope with the degeneracy of the genetic code in two manners: having more than one tRNA (with a specific anti-codon) for a particular amino acid; and 'wobble' base-pairing, i.e. permitting non-standard base-pairing at the 3rd anti-codon position. The record is from RNAcentral. RNAcentral also lists the same sequence under 1 other name. Lineage: Bacteria; Pseudomonadati; Myxococcota; Myxococcia.
GGGCGCUUAACUCAGCGGCAGAGUGCCAUCCUCACACGGUGGAAGUCGACAGUUCGAAUCUGUCAGCGCCCA